AAACCUGCCCACUGGUCAUAAAAUGGCGGCUACUCUCGUGUUUUCCAUUUUGCAUAUUUUUGGUAUUGAAAUCAAAAUGUAAGCGCGUCGAGUCGAGCCUUGUUUUCCUCCGCCUUGCUGUUGCGAAUUCAAUCCAAAAAUCUCCUUUUUGUGAUAGAGACACUUUUGUUUGUGGAAUUUAUGAACUUUGGUGUAAUGCCGAGACGUUGUGCUUUCGGUUGUGCGCUCCGUGGUAAAGAUUCCAAUGCAUCGUUUCCCAGAUGCUGUCAAAUUUCCUGAGCAGUUUAAAACUUGGGUCAGUCUUGUUGGUGGAAACCCUGAAACAUCUGAUUUUGAAUAUUAUAAGAAGAAGUGAAUUUGUGAUAUACACUUUUCUGACAGACACAGAAAUCGUAAUCAACGGCUAGACACAUUGGCAGUUCCUAUGCUUCAUCUGCCUGGACAACAACAGAGUCAAGUAAUCUUAGGACAAGCUUCAUCCACACAACAUUUACUGCCUACAAUAAUACAGCAAGACUGUUCAGAGCCAUAUGUGAGCAACUUUAUUUUAGAAAAAGCAUCAACUUCAACAACAUUCCUACCUGUAGCUGCAGAUCUAAUGGCUCCACAGUGCACAAAGAUCAAGCAUCUUCAAGCAGAAAUAUCGCGCUUGCGAAAAAAAGGACAAUCUUUCAAAGCAAGGUUAAAAGGUGGUGCAGAUCGAUCAAUCGAAUUUUGUGCGGAAAAUUAACAUAUUAUGUGGGUGAAGACGAAACAAAAACAGCUGCCCAACAAUAUUAUGAUAAACAUAAACAUUAUAAAAAUAAAAGUAAU
Molecule: long non-coding RNA, 813 nt
Organism: Leptidea sinapis
Lineage: Eukaryota; Metazoa; Arthropoda; Insecta; Lepidoptera; Pieridae
Exons: 5
Source: RefSeq, a predicted model, not a curated record